This 445-nucleotide ribosomal RNA is filed under the name uncultured bacterium. Its description in RNAcentral is "partial 16S ribosomal RNA". It matches the Rfam family "Bacterial small subunit ribosomal RNA", at positions 354 to 796 of the family's 1533-position model. The record is from RNAcentral.
GUAGGGAAUAUUGGGCAAUGGGUGCAAGCCUGACCCAGCCAUCCCGCGUGCCGGAUGAAGGCCCUCUGGGUCGUAAACGGCUUUUGACGGUGAAGAACCGAAAGGGUGCGCCCUUUUUUGACGGUAGCCGUUGAAUAAGCACCGGCUAACUCCGUGCCAGCAGCCGCGGUAAUACGGAGGGUGCGAGCGUUGUCCGGAUUUAUUGGGUUUAAAGGGUGCGUAGGCUGGAGGGACAGUCAGCGGUGAAAAGCUGUCGCUUAACGAUAGUCUUGCCGCAGAUACUUCCUUUCUUGGAUGAGGAGGAGGCCACUGGAACGGAUGGUGUAGCGGUGAAAUGCAUAGAUAUCAUCCAGAACACCGAUUGCGAAGGCAGGUGGCUGUACCUUAAUCGACGCUGAUGCACGAAAGCAUGGGGAGCAAACAGGAUUAGAUACCCUGGUAGUCC